Molecule: small nuclear RNA, 107 nt
Organism: Erinaceus europaeus (western European hedgehog)
Lineage: Eukaryota; Metazoa; Chordata; Mammalia; Eulipotyphla; Erinaceidae
Source: Ensembl
GUGCUCACUUAGGCAGCACAUGUACUAAAAUUGGAAUGAUACAAAGAAGAUUAGCAUGGUCCCUGUGCUAGGGAAAAAGGCACAUUUUCCAAGAGAUCUAUUAUUUU